GACGAACGCUGGCGGCGUGCCUAAUACAUGCAAGUUGAGCGCCGAAGGUUGGUACUUGUACCAACUGGAUGAGCAGCGAACGGGUGAGUAACGCGUGGGGAAUCUGCCUUUGAGCGGGGGACAACAUUUGGAAACGAAUGCUAAUACCGCAUAAAAACUUUAAACACAAGUUUUAAGUUUGAAAGAUGCAAUUGCAUCACUCAAAGAUGAUCCCGCGUUGUAUUAGCUAGUUGGUGAGGUAAAGGCUCACCAAGGCGAUGAUACAUAGCCGACCUGAGAGGGUGAUCGGCCACAUUGGGACUGAGACACGGCCCAAACUCCUUCGGGAGGCAGCAGUAGGGAAUCUUCGGCAAUGGACGAAAGUCUGACCGAGCAACGCCGCGUGAGUGAAGAAGGUUUUCGGAUCGUAAAACUCUGUUGGUAGAGAAGAACGUUGGUGAGAGUGGAAAGCUCAUCAAGUGACGGUAACUACCCAGAAAGGGACGGCUAACUACGUG
Molecule: ribosomal RNA, 497 nt
Filed under: uncultured bacterium
Lineage: Bacteria
Description: partial 16S ribosomal RNA
Rfam family: Bacterial small subunit ribosomal RNA
Source: RNAcentral